UCAAACUUGGUCAUUUAGAGGAAGUAAAAGUCGUAACAAGGUUUCCGUAGGUGAACCUGCGGAAGGAUCAUUACCGGUUUUGCCAGAGUACGGUGCUACACCUACUUCUGGUAGCCAUGAUCAACCCUUUGUGCACGCAUAGAUUUCUGGGCUUUGGCAGAGGUAAGAGUCUGCCAGAGUUCUCCAACAAACCUGUCUCAUUCUUUGACUGAUUAUACCUUUUACAAUAAAAACAACUUUCAACAACGGAUCUCUUGGCUCUCGCAUCGAUGAAGAACGCAGC
This 283-nucleotide unclassified non-coding RNA is filed under the name uncultured fungus. RNAcentral describes it as "partial contains small subunit ribosomal RNA, internal transcribed spacer 1, and 5.8S ribosomal RNA". The stretch from base 1 to 73 matches the Rfam family "Eukaryotic small subunit ribosomal RNA", at positions 1759 to 1831 of the family's 1831-position model. The record is from RNAcentral. Lineage: Eukaryota; Fungi.